CACUGCCGAGAAAAGCCUCUAGAUAGAAAAUAGGUGCCCGUACCGCAAACCGACACAGGUAGUCAAGAUGAGAAUUCUAAGGUGAGCGAGCGAACUCUCGUUAAGGAACUCGGCAAAAUGACCCCGUAACUUCGGGAGAAGGGGUGCUCUUUAGGGUUAACGCCCAGAAGAGCCGCAGUGAAUAGGCCCAAGCGACUGUUUAUCAAAAACACAGGUCUCUGCUAAACCGUAAGGUGAUGUAUAGGGGCUGACGCCUGCCCGGUGCUGGAAGGUUAAGAGGAGUGGUUAGCUUCUGCGAAGCUACGAAUCGAAGCCCCAGUAAACGGCGGCCGUAACUAUAACGGUCCUAAGGUAGCGAAAUUCCUUGUCGGGUAAGUUCCGACCCGCACGAAAGGCGUAACGAUUUGGGCACUGUCUCAACGAGAGACUCGGUGAAAUCAUAGUACCUGUGAAGAUGCAGGUUACCCGCGACAGGACGGAAAGACCCCGUGGAGCUUUACUGUAGCCUGAUAUUGAAAUUCGGCACAGCUUGUACAGGAUAG
RNAcentral lists this ribosomal RNA (542 nucleotides) under Staphylococcus aureus. RNAcentral's name for it is "partial 23S ribosomal RNA". It matches the Rfam family "Bacterial large subunit ribosomal RNA", at positions 1603 to 2146 of the family's 2925-position model. Lineage: Bacteria; Bacillati; Bacillota; Bacilli; Caryophanales; Staphylococcaceae. The record is from RNAcentral.